This is a non-coding RNA of Ictidomys tridecemlineatus (thirteen-lined ground squirrel), 72 nucleotides long. The record is from Rfam. Lineage: Eukaryota; Metazoa; Chordata; Mammalia; Rodentia; Sciuridae.
GGGGUUGUAGCUCAGAGGUAAAGCGCUCGCUUAGCAUGUGUGAGGCAAUGGGUUCAAUUCUCAGCAACUCAU